AAUGAACGCUGGCGGCAUGCCUAACACAUGCAAGUCGAACGAACACUUCGGGUCUAGUCGCCCACGACUUUGUAAGCCGAGGGAACCUGAACUCAGGGUUGACCUAACUCUCAGAAAGGGGUACUAACACCGGACAGUGUCUACGGCCCAAAGAUUUAUUGCACUUGGAUGUGCGCGCGUUGGAUAAGCUAGUUGGUAGGGUAAAAGCCUACCAAGGCGACCAUUCAUAGCUUGGUAGUGAGGAUGAUCAGCCACACUGGGACUGAGACGCGGCCCGGACUCCUACGGGAGGCAGCAGUGGGGAAUGUUGGACAGUGGGCGAAGGCCUGAUGCAGCAAUGCCGCGUGAGUGAUGAAGUCCUUAGAGUUGUAAAGCUCUUUUACCUGUGAUCAUAAUGACAGUACCGGGAGAGUAAGCUCCGGCUAACUCCGUG
RNAcentral lists this ribosomal RNA (433 nucleotides) under uncultured bacterium. RNAcentral's name for it is "partial 16S ribosomal RNA". It matches the Rfam family "Bacterial small subunit ribosomal RNA", at positions 29 to 507 of the family's 1533-position model. The record is from RNAcentral.